AUUGAACGCUGGCGGCAUGCUUUACACAUGCAAGUCGAACGGUAACAGGCCGCAAGGUGCUGACGAGUGGCGAACGGGUGAGUAAUGCAUCGGAACGUGCCCAGUCGUGGGGGAUAACUACUCGAAAGAGUAGCUAAUACCGCAUACGAUCUAUGGAUGAAAGCGGGGGACCGUAAGGCCUCGCGCGAUUGGAGCGGCCGAUGUCAGAUUAGGUAGUUGGUGGGGUAAAGGCUCACCAAGCCAACGAUCUGUAGCUGGUCUGAGAGGACAACCAGCCACAGGGGGAGUGAGAGCGCGCCAAGCCCCCUCGGGGGGCGGCGGUGGGGGAUUUUGGGACAAGGGGGGCAGGCUUGCCCCUGAAAUCCGGCGUGAAGAAAGAGCCCUUUGGGUUUGAAAACUUUUUUUAGAGGAAACAAAGGGGUUGUGUUAAACCCCGGGGUCAAAGAGGGAACCGGAAAAAAAAGGCCCGGGCUAGCUAGGCC
RNAcentral lists this ribosomal RNA (482 nucleotides) under uncultured bacterium. RNAcentral describes it as "partial 16S ribosomal RNA". It matches the Rfam family "Bacterial small subunit ribosomal RNA", at positions 29 to 509 of the family's 1533-position model. The record is from RNAcentral.